GGGAACGUACCCUUCGGUUCGGAAUAACUCAGGGAAACUUGAGCUAAUACCGGAUACGCCCUUUUGGGGAAAGGUUUACUGCCGAAGGAUCGGCCCGCGUCUGAUUAGCUUGUUGGUGGGGUAACGGCCUACCAAGGCGACGAUCAGUAGCUGGUCUGAGAGGAUGAUCAGCCACACUGGGACUGAGACACGGCCCAGACUCCUACGGGAGGCAGCAGUGGGGAAUAUUGGACAAUGGGCGCAAGCCUGAUCCAGCCAUGCCGCGUGAGUGAUGAAGGCCUUAGGGUUGUAAAGCUCUUUUGUCCGGGACGAUAAUGACGGUACCGGAAGAAUGAGCCCCGGCUAAUUUCGUGCCAGCAGCCGCGGUAAUACGAAGGGGGCUAGCGUUGCUCGGAAUCACUGGGCGUAAAGGGCGCGUAGGCGGCCGAUUAAGUCGGGGGUGAAAGCCUGUGGCUCAACCACAGAAUUGCCUUCGAUACUGGUUGGCUUGAGACCGGAAGAGGACAGCGGAACUGCGAGU
Molecule: ribosomal RNA, 520 nt
Filed under: uncultured bacterium
Lineage: Bacteria
Description: bacterial SSU rRNA
Rfam family: Bacterial small subunit ribosomal RNA
Source: RNAcentral